This 954-nucleotide ribosomal RNA is filed under the name Limosilactobacillus fermentum. RNAcentral describes it as "bacterial SSU rRNA". It matches the Rfam family "Bacterial small subunit ribosomal RNA", at positions 51 to 960 of the family's 1533-position model. Lineage: Bacteria; Bacillati; Bacillota; Bacilli; Lactobacillales; Lactobacillaceae. The record is from RNAcentral.
AUUAAUGCAAGUCGAACGCGUUGGCCCAAUUGAUUGAUGGUGCUUGCACCUGAUUGAUUUUGGUCGCCAACGAGUGGCGGACGGGUGAGUAACACGUAGGUAACCUGCCCAGAAGCGGGGGACAACAUUUGGAAACAGAUGCUAAUACCGCAUAACAACGUUGUUCGCAUGAACAACGCUUAAAAGAUGGCUUCUCGCUAUCACUUCUGGAUGGACCUGCGGUGCAUUAGCUUGUUGGUGGGGUAAUGGCCUACCAAGGCGAUGAUGCAUAGCCGAGUUGAGAGACUGAUCGGCCACAAUGGGACUGAGACACGGCCCAUACUCCUACGGGAGGCAGCAGUAGGGAAUCUUCCACAAUGGGCGCAAGCCUGAUGGAGCAACACCGCGUGAGUGAAGAAGGGUUUCGGCUCGUAAAGCUCUGUUGUUAAAGAAGAACACGUAUGAGAGUAACUGUUCAUACGUUGACGGUAUUUAACCAGAAAGUCACGGCUAACUACGUGCCAGCAGCCGCGGUAAUACGUAGGUGGCAAGCGUUAUCCGGAUUUAUUGGGCGUAAAGAGAGUGCAGGCGGUUUUCUAAGUCUGAUGUGAAAGCCUUCGGCUUAACCGGAGAAGUGCAUCGGAAACUGGAUAACUUGAGUGCAGAAGAGGGUAGUGGAACUCCAUGUGUAGCGGUGGAAUGCGUAGAUAUAUGGAAGAACACCAGUGGCGAAGGCGGCUACCUGGUCUGCAACUGACGCUGAGACUCGAAAGCAUGGGUAGCGAACAGGAUUAGAUACCCUGGUAGUCCAUGCCGUAAACGAUGAGUGCUAGGUGUUGGAGGGUUUCCGCCCUUCAGUGCCGGAGCUAACGCAUUAAGCACUCCGCCUGGGGAGUACGACCGCAAGGUUGAAACUCAUAGGAAUUGACGGGGGCCCGCACAAGCGGUGGAGCAUGUGGUUUAAUUCGAAGCUAC